UCUUAGUACAAAUUUAACUAAAGUAAAACCGCAAAAUGCUCAUUAAACUAGUUAUAGUUUACUAGAAUAAAAAUUUUGAAUGGAUAACUGUGGUAAUUCUAGAGCUAAUACAUGCAAUCAAGUUUUGCCCAAUAUUGGGAAAAACGCUUUUAUUAGAUCAAAACCAAUCGAAUAGUUUACUAUUCGUAAUUUUGAUGACUCUGAAUAACACCACAGAUCGCACAGUCUUUGUACUGGCGACAUAUCUUUCAAAUGUCUAACUUAUCAACUGUCGAUGGUAGAUUAUAUGUCUACCAUGGUGAUAACGGGUAACGGGGAAUCAGGGUUCGAUUCCGGAGAGGGAGCCUGAGAAACUGCUACCACAUCCAAGGAAGGCAGCAGGCACGCAAAUUACCCACUCCCGGCACGGGGAGGUAGUGACAAAAAAUAACGAUACGGGACUCAUCCGAGGCCCCGUAAUCGGAAUGAGUACACUUUAAAUCCUUUAACAAGGAUCAAUUGGAGGGCCAGUCUGGUGCCAGCAGCCGCGGUAAUUCCAGCUCCAAUAGCGUAUAUUAAAGUUGUUGCGGUUAAAAAGCUCGUAGUUGGUUCUGUGUGCCAUGCUGUUGGUUCACCGCCUGCCGGUGUAACUGACAUGUCAUGGGACGUCCUGUCGGUGGUAAUUAAAAACUUAUCAUUUUGAUAUUAGGUUUACCUUUUAUUUUAAAUAUAAGUUCUUUUAAUUACCGAUUAAUACCCGCCGCGGUGCUCUUUACUGAGUGUCGAGGUGGGCCGACACGUUUACUUUGAACAAAUUAGAGUGCUUAAAGCAGGCAAAUGUCUGCCUAAAUAGUGGUGCAUGGAAUAAUAGAAUAAGACCUUGAUUCUAUUUUGUUGGUUUCCUGAAUUCAAGGUAAUGAUCAAUAUGGACAGUCGGGGGCAUUCGUAUUGCGGCGUAGAGGUGAAAUUUGAUCGUCGCAGACGACUAAGCGAGUGCAUUUGCCAAGUAUGUCUUAAUUGAUCAAGAACGAAAGUUAGAGGUUCGAAGGCGAUCAGAUACCGCCCUAGUUCUAACCAUAAACGAUGUCAACUAGCGAUCCGUCGAUGUUUUUUUCAUGACUCGACGGGCAGCUUCCGGGAAACCAAAGCUUUUGGGUUCCGGGGGAAGUAUGGUUGCAAAGCUGAAACUUAAAGGAAUUGACGGAAGGGCACCACAAGUAGUGGAGCCUGCGGCUUAAUUUGACUCAACACGGGAAACCUCACCAGGCCCAGACAUUGGAAGGA
RNAcentral lists this ribosomal RNA (1263 nucleotides) under Pinochius sp. CW-2013a. RNAcentral's name for it is "SSU rRNA". It matches the Rfam family "Eukaryotic small subunit ribosomal RNA", at positions 58 to 1239 of the family's 1831-position model. Lineage: Eukaryota; Metazoa; Arthropoda; Insecta; Hemiptera; Schizopteridae. The record is from RNAcentral.